RNAcentral lists this ribosomal RNA (474 nucleotides) under uncultured bacterium. Its description in RNAcentral is "bacterial SSU rRNA". It matches the Rfam family "Bacterial small subunit ribosomal RNA", at positions 8 to 526 of the family's 1533-position model. The record is from RNAcentral.
AGGGUUUUGAUUAUGGCUCAGAACGUACGCUGGCGGCACGCCUAAUACAUGCAAGUCGAACGAAGUAGUAAUACUUAGUGGCAGACGGGUGAGUAACAUGUAGGUAUCUUCCCAUUGGUGAGGAAUAACACGAGGAAACUUGUGCUAAUACCUCAUAAGUCUUUACGGAGAAAGCUUUAUGCGCCGAUGGAUGAGCCUGCACUUGAUUAGUUUGUUGGUAGGGUAAUGGCCUACCAAGACAAUGAUCAAUAGCUGAUUUGAGAGGAUGAUCAGCCACAUUGGGACUGAGACACGGCCCAAACUCCUACGGGAGGCAGCAGUAGGGAAUCUUGCACAAUGGGGGAAACCCUGAUGCAGCGAUGCCGCGUGAGUGAAGAAGGCCUUUGGGUUGUAAAGCUCUUUCGUCGGGGAAGAAAAUGACUGUACCCGAAUAAGAAGGUCCGGCUAACUUCGUGCCAGCAGCCGCGGUAAUUC